CAACAUGAGAGUUUGAUCCUGGCUCAGAACGAACGCUGGCGGCAGGCUUAACACAUGCAAGUCGAACGCCCCGCAAGGGGAGUGGCAGACGGGUGAGUAACGCGUGGGAAUCUACCCAACUCUACGGAAUAACUCAGGGAAACUUGUGCUAAUACCGUAUACGCCCUUCGGGGGAAAGAUUUAUCGGAGUUGGAUGAGCCCGCGUUGGAUUAGCUAGUUGGUGGGGUAAAGGCCUACCAAGGCGACGAUCCAUAGCUGGUCUGAGAGGAUGAUCAGCCACAUUGGGACUGAGACACGGCCCAAACUCCUACGGGAGGCAGCAGUGGGGAAUAUUGGACAAU
RNAcentral lists this ribosomal RNA (341 nucleotides) under Hyphomicrobiales bacterium. Its description in RNAcentral is "bacterial SSU rRNA". It matches the Rfam family "Bacterial small subunit ribosomal RNA", at positions 1 to 372 of the family's 1533-position model. Lineage: Bacteria; Pseudomonadati; Pseudomonadota; Alphaproteobacteria; Hyphomicrobiales. The record is from RNAcentral.